GUCCUAACAGAUAUGCUCCAACUCAAACCUCUCUCAGAGAUCGUGGUCGGUCGUAGGUGCGAAGAAUGGCAAAGCCAAAAUCUCCCUACUCUCACUUUCAUUGCGCAUACAGGAGUAAAUCCCGCAUACUCGCACAUAUGUUAGACUCCUUGGUCCGUGUUUCAAGACGGGUCGGUUGGAACCGAUUAAGCCAGCAUCACAGAAACCGAGUACUCGAAAGUGGAGCUCGGAAACAGGAACACUCCUCAGCCACAAGGAAAAGGAAAGAACAAAGAUAUAACGGUCCACAAGGAACCUACCUUCUUUGAACGAAAUCAAUUCCGAGUAGCUGAUGCUGACCUCUCCAAAAAGAUGAACCGGAAAUACAUCAAGAAACCAAAGCCUAAACCUGGUGAGAGAGAGAAGGCAAAGGGAUAGAUGGCAAACCGGCGGCACUUCUUGGAAUCAAAAAGGUCCCAAUCGCUUCCUUUUCAGCAAUUUCAGGCACUUUUAACUCUCUUUCCAAAGAACUUUUCAUCUUUCCCUCACGGUACUUGUUUGCUAUCGGUCUCGCGCCAGUACUUAGCUUUAUGUGAAACCUACCACACAUUUUGCGCUCAAAUCCCGAUGAACGCGACUCUAUAAAAGCGUACCGUACGUGGAACAAAAAACGCAGGGGAAGGACGGGAUUCUCACCCUCUAUGAUGUUCUUUCCCAAGAAACUUAACCCUGCGCUUCCACUGGUAACGCCUCUCGAGGCUACAAGUCAACAGCUCGGAAAGAGCAGUUGAUUUCCACUUUGAGCUGAUCCCGGUUCACUCGCCGUUACUAAGGGAAUCAUAGUUAUUUUCUUCUCCUCCGCUUAAUAAUAUGCUUAAGUUCAGCGGGUAACCUCGCCUGAUUUCAGGUCUG
Molecule: ribosomal RNA, 891 nt
Organism: Toxoplasma gondii ME49
Lineage: Eukaryota; Apicomplexa; Conoidasida; Eucoccidiorida; Sarcocystidae
Source: RefSeq, a predicted model, not a curated record